This 492-nucleotide ribosomal RNA is filed under the name uncultured bacterium. RNAcentral's name for it is "partial 16S ribosomal RNA". It matches the Rfam family "Bacterial small subunit ribosomal RNA", at positions 29 to 507 of the family's 1533-position model. The record is from RNAcentral.
AGUGAACGCUGGCGGUAGGCCUAACACAUGCAAGUCGAACGGCAGCACAGUAAGAGCUUGCUCUUACGGGUGGCGAGUGGCGGACGGGUGAGGAAUACAUCGUAAUCUACUUUUUCGUGGGGGAUAACGUAGGGAAACUUACUCUAAUACCGCAUACGACCUACGGGUGAAAGCAGGGGAUCUUCGGACCUUGCGCGAUUGAAUGAGCCGAUGUCGGAUUAGCUAGUUGGCGGGGUAAAGGCCCACCAAGGCGACGAUCCGUAGCUGGUCUGAGAGGAUGAUCAGCCACACUGGAACUGAGACACGGUCCAGACUCCUACGGGAGGCAGCAGUGGGGAAUAUUGGACAAUGGGCGCAAGCCUGAUCCAGCCAUACCGCGUGGGUGAAGAAGGCCUUCGGGUUGUAAAGCCCUUUUGUUGGGAAAGAAAAGCAGCAGGUUAAUACCCCGCUGUUCUGACGGUACCCAAAGAAUAAGCACCGGCUAACUUCGUG